UUUGGUUAAGUUAGAAAGGGCGCACGGUGGAUGCCUUGACACUAGGAGUCGAUGAAGGACGGGACUAACGCCGAUAUGCUUCGGGGAGCUGUAAGUAAGCUUUGAUCCGAAGAUUUCCGAAUGGGGAAACCCACCAUACGUAAUGGUAUGGUAUCCUUAUCUGAAUACAUAGGGUAAGGAAGACAGACCCAGGGAACUGAAACAUCUAAGUACCUGGAGGAAGAGAAAGCAAAUGCGAUUUCCUGAGUAGCGGCGAGCGAAACGGAACAUAGCCCAAACCAAGAGGCUUGCCUCUUGGGGUUGUAGGACAUUCUAUACGGAGUUACAAAGGAACGAGGUAGACGAAGCGACCUGGAAAGGUCCGUCGUAGAGGGUAACAACCCCGUAGUCGAAACUUCGUUCUCUCUUGAAUGUAUCCUGAGUACGGCGGAACACGUGAAAUUCCGUCGGAAUCUGGGAGGACCAUCUCCCAAGGCUAAAUACUCCCUAGUGAUCGAUAGUGAACCAGUACCGUGAGGGAAAGGUGAAAAGCACCCCGGAAGGGGAGUGAAAGAGAUCCUGAAACCGUGUGCCUACAAAUAGUCAGAGCCCGUUAACGGGUGAUGGCGUGCCUUUUGUAGAAUGAACCGGCGAGUUACGAUCCCGUGCGAGGUUAAGCUGAAGAGGCGGAGCCGCAGCGAAAGCGAGUCUGAAUAGGGCGUUUAGUACGUGGUCGUAGACCCGAAACCAGGUGAUCUACCCAUGUCCAGGGUGAAGUUCAGGUAACACUGAAUGGAGGCCCGAACCCACGCACGUUGAAAAGUGCGGGGAUGAGGUGUGGGUAGCGGAGAAAUUCCAAUCGAACCUGGAGAUAGCUGGUUCUCCCCGAAAUAGCUUUAGGGCUAGCCUUAAGUGUAAGAGUCUUGGAGGUAGAGCACUGAUUGGACUAGGGGUCCUCAUCGGAUUACCGAAUUCAGUCAAACUCCGAAUGCCAAUGACUUAUCCUUAGGAGUCAGACUGCGAGUGAUAAGAUCCGUAGUCAAAAGGGAAACAGCCCAGACCGCCAGCUAAGGUCCCAAAGUGUGUAUUAAGUGGAAAAGGAUGUGGAGUUGCUUAGACAACUAGGAUGUUGGCUUAGAAGCAGCCACCAUUUAAAGAGUGCGUAAUAGCUCACUAGUCGAGUGACUCUGCGCCGAAAAUGUACCGGGGCUAAAUACACCACCGAAGCUGCGGAUUGAUACCAAUGGUAUCAGUGGUAGGGGAGCGUUCUAAGGACAGUGAAGUCAGACCGUAAGGACUGGUGGAGUGCUUAGAAGUGAGAAUGCCGGUAUGAGUAGCGAAAGACGGGUGAGAAUCCCGUCCACCGAAUGCCUAAGGUUUCCUGAGGAAGGCUCGUCCGCUCAGGGUUAGUCAGGACCUAAGCCGAGGCCGACAGGCGUAGGCGAUGGACAACAGGUUGAUAUUCCUGUACCACCUCUUUAUCGUUUGAGCAAUGGAGGGACGCAGAAGGAUAGAAGAAGCGUGCGAUUGGUUGUGCACGUCCAAGCAGUUAGGCUGAUAAGUAGGCAAAUCCGCUUAUCAUAAAGGCUGAGCUGUGAUGGGGAAGCUCCUUAUGGAGCGAAGUCUUUGAUUCCCCGCUGCCAAGAAAAGCUUCUAGCGAGAUAAAAGGUGCCUGUACCGCAAACCGACACAGGUAGGCGAGGAGAGAAUCCUAAGGUGUGCGAGAGAACUCUGGUUAAGGAACUCGGCAAAAUGACCCCGUAACUUCGGGAGAAGGGGUGCUUUCUUAACGGAAAGCCGCAGUGAAUAGGCCCAAGCGACUGUUUAGCAAAAACACAGCUCUCUGCGAAGCCGUAAGGCGAAGUAUAGGGGGUGACACCUGCCCGGUGCUGGAAGGUUAAGGAGAGGGGUUAGCGUAAGCGAAGCUCUGAACUGAAGCCCCAGUAAACGGCGGCCGUAACUAUAACGGUCCUAAGGUAGCGAAAUUCCUUGUCGGGUAAGUUCCGACCCGCACGAAAGGUGUAACGAUUUGGGCACUGUCUCAACCAGAGACUCGGUGAAAUUAUAGUACCUGUGAAGAUGCAGGUUACCCGCGACAGGACGGAAAGACCCCGUGGAGCUUUACUGUAGCCUGAUAUUGAAUUUUGGUACAGUUUGUACAGGAUAGGCGGGAGCCAUUGAAACCGGAGCGCUAGCUUCGGUGGAGGCGCUGGUGGGAUACCGCCCUGACUGUAUUGAAAUUCUAACCUACGGGUCUUAUCGACCCGGGAGACAGUGUCAGGUGGGCAGUUUGACUGGGGCGGUCGCCUCCUAAAGUGUAACGGAGGCGCCCAAAGGUUCCCUCAGAAUGGUUGGAAAUCAUUCGUAGAGUGCAAAGGCAUAAGGGAGCUUGACUGCGAGACCUACAAGUCGAGCAGGGACGAAAGUCGGGCUUAGUGAUCCGGUGGUUCCGCAUGGAAGGGCCAUCGCUCAACGGAUAAAAGCUACCCCGGGGAUAACAGGCUUAUCUCCCCCAAGAGUCCACAUCGACGGGGAGGUUUGGCACCUCGAUGUCGGCUCAUCGCAUCCUGGGGCUGUAGUCGGUCCCAAGGGUUGGGCUGUUCGCCCAUUAAAGCGGUACGCGAGCUGGGUUCAGAACGUCGUGAGACAGUUCGGUCCCUAUCCGUCGUGGGCGUAGGAAAUUUGAGAGGAGCUGUCCUUAGUACGAGAGGACCGGGAUGGACGCACCGCUGGUGUACCAGUUGUUCUGCCAAGGGCAUAGCUGGGUAGCUAUGUGCGGAAGGGAUAAGUGCUGAAAGCAUCUAAGCAUGAAGCCCCCCUCAAGAUGAGAUUUCCCAUAGCGUAAGCUAGUAAGAUCCCUGAAAGAUGAUCAGGUUGAUAGGUUCGAGGUGGAAGCAUGGUGACAUGUGGAGCUGACGAAUACUAAUAGAUCGAGGACUUAACCAUAAAA
RNAcentral lists this ribosomal RNA (2929 nucleotides) under Bacillus cereus. Its description in RNAcentral is "bacterial LSU rRNA". It matches the Rfam family "Bacterial large subunit ribosomal RNA". Lineage: Bacteria; Bacillati; Bacillota; Bacilli; Caryophanales; Bacillaceae. The record is from RNAcentral.